This is a long non-coding RNA of Gasterosteus aculeatus aculeatus (three-spined stickleback), 1092 nucleotides long. The record is from Ensembl. Lineage: Eukaryota; Metazoa; Chordata; Actinopteri; Perciformes; Gasterosteidae.
CGCGAAAGGAGGAUAACGGCAAACUAUUGAUUUUCAAAUUGGUCCGUGCGGUGUCACGUGAUGACCUGGCACCUUUCUGCUGUGUGUAAAGACACCGGAUUAUCCCGUGACCUGCUGGAUCAUAAUCUCUUUAUUGACAGUACAAGUAGAGCCGGAAUGAGUCAUGACAUGUUUUGUUCAAGACAUUUUUCUUACUUCAUAAUGUUAAUGUUGUUCCGAUGCAUGUUAGUAGUGAAAUAUCCAACUUCCCCUGAACGCCGCCGACUUCAACACAACUCCAUCUGCAAUAAUCUGCCAAUAUGGUGGUGGCCGGCCAGCCAGCCAGCCGUGACGUAGGCGGAGGGAUUAGGUCACCUUGUGAGUCAUAUUGAAAUUCAGCGACGGUAAUCUCCACCGCUGCCUUUUGUCACCCGAGGGUGCAAAGCCUGCGGGCGGGCUGUUCGUCUCAGAGUGGCUCAAAAGGCAUUUCUACAUCACAUUGGCCCCCGGGACAUGAAGGCAAAGUCCCACCUGGGCAUUAAAAGACUCUGGUUGUCAUAGCGACACUUCAGGGAGGCAGUCAACAAGGUCAUUGGGUCAAAUGAAGGCAAGAGGGCCGGUUCUGUGGUUUUGUGUAUUUCCCUUUGUGUGUGUGUGUGUCUGCAUGACUAAUAGUUCACUGAUCAUCAACAACACACCAGAAGAUCUCCUGUAUGAGAGUAAUACUGCGAAAUACAAGUACAAUACUCCCGCAGGUGGUCUGAAGGUCAUUGUAGGUCCAGGUGUUUAUCUAUAAAGCCUCAAUCGAGGGCUUCGUAAAGAGGAAAGGUGUCGCCGUGAGCGGUUUGUGUUAAUCAUCAUGUUUAUCUAAUGAUAACUCACAGGCCUGUACGACCUUUUCAUUAAUAUUUAACGGGACAAAAAUGUUAUUGUUAGUCGAUGUGCUUUUAAUGGAUACAGUGUGUGUAAGUUUAUGUCUACUUAAUGCAGGUUUCUGAUUGUAUGUUUUUUUUGCAUGUAAAAUGAUAAUUCAGUAUUCUGGGUUUUAUUGGUUUAUUAUUGGUUUAUAUAACUGCAUAUAUCACUAUCACAAUUUGGUGAAUUUUUGGAUGU